RNAcentral lists this ribosomal RNA (253 nucleotides) under uncultured bacterium. RNAcentral's name for it is "partial 16S ribosomal RNA". It matches the Rfam family "Bacterial small subunit ribosomal RNA", at positions 524 to 776 of the family's 1533-position model. The record is from RNAcentral.
UACGUAGGGCGCAAGCGUUGUCCGGAAUUAUUGGGCGUAAAGAGCUCGUAGGCGGCUUGUCACGUCGGGUGUGAAAGCCCGGGGCUUAACCCCGGGUCUGCAUUCGAUACGGGCAGGCUAGAGUGUGGUAGGGGAGAUCGGAAUUCCUGGUGUAGCGGUGAAAUGCGUAGAUAUCUGGAGGAACACCGGUGGCGAAGGCGGCAUCCUGGACCGGUAUUGACGCUGAGGCGCGAAAGCCAGGGGAGCAAACGGG